This is a small nuclear RNA of Anolis carolinensis (green anole), 67 nucleotides long. It matches the Rfam family "U4 spliceosomal RNA". From Rfam's summary of the family: U4 small nuclear RNA (U4 snRNA) is a component of the major U2-dependent spliceosome. The structure of U4 snRNA from yeast and human has been reported. U4 snRNA presents a k-turn RNA motif in the 5p-SL related to recognition of Snu13 protein. Lineage: Eukaryota; Metazoa; Chordata; Lepidosauria; Squamata; Anolidae. The record is from Rfam.
AGCUUUGCACAGUAGCAGUAUCGUAGCCAAUGAGGUUAAUCCGAGGCGCGAUUAUUGCUAAUUGCAG